RNAcentral lists this ribosomal RNA (460 nucleotides) under uncultured bacterium. RNAcentral describes it as "partial 16S ribosomal RNA". It matches the Rfam family "Bacterial small subunit ribosomal RNA", at positions 338 to 795 of the family's 1533-position model. The record is from RNAcentral.
CCUACGGGAGGCAGCAGUGGGGAAUAUUGCGCAAUGGGCGAAAGCCUGAACCAGCCAAGUAGCGUGAAGGAUGACUGCCCUACGGGUUGUAAACUUCUUUUAUAAAGGAAUAAAGUGAGGCACGUGUGCCUUUUUGUAUGUACUUUAUGAAUAAGGAUCGGCUAACUCCGUGCCAGCAGCCGCGGUAAUACGGAGGAUCCGAGCGUUAUCCGGAUUUAUUGGGUUUAAAGGGAGCGUAGAUGGGUUGUUAAGUCAGUUGUGAAAGUUUGCGGCUCAACCGUAAAAUUGCAAUUGAUACUGGCAGCCUUGAGUACAGGUGAGGUAGGCGGAAUUCGUGGUGUAGCGGUGAAAUGCUUAGAUAUCACGAAGAACUCCGAUUGCGAAGGCAGCUUACUAAACUGCCACUGACAUUGAUGCUCGAAAGUGUGGGUAGCAAACAGGAUUAGAUACCCUGGUAGUC